GACCCGUUAACUCAGUUGGUUAGAGUGUAGUGCUAAUAACAAGUUAACGCUAAAGUCACAGGUUCGACCCCUGUACGGGUCA
This 82-nucleotide transfer RNA is filed under the name Clavulina sp. PMI_390. It matches the Rfam family "tRNA". Rfam says of the family: Transfer RNA (tRNA) molecules are approximately 80 nucleotides in length. Their secondary structure includes four short double-helical elements and three loops (D, anti-codon, and T loops). The record is from Rfam by way of RNAcentral. Lineage: Eukaryota; Fungi; Basidiomycota; Agaricomycetes; Cantharellales; Hydnaceae.